AUCCGGAUGACGAGUCACAUAUAGGACGAAACACAUGUCCUGGAU
Schistosoma haematobium is the source of this 45-nucleotide non-coding RNA. NCBI's taxonomy places the organism in Eukaryota, Metazoa, Platyhelminthes, Trematoda, Strigeidida, Schistosomatidae. The record is from Rfam.